Molecule: ribosomal RNA, 753 nt
Filed under: uncultured bacterium
Lineage: Bacteria
Description: bacterial SSU rRNA
Rfam family: Bacterial small subunit ribosomal RNA
Source: RNAcentral
AUGAACGCUGGCGGCGUGCCUAACACAUGCAAGUCGAACGAAGCGCCUGGCCCCGACUUCUUCGGAACGAGGAGCCUUGCGACUGAGUGGCGGACGGGUGAGUAACGCGUGGGCAACCUGCCUUGCACUGGGGGAUAACAGCCAGAAAUGGCUGCUAAUACCGCAUAAGACCGAAGCGCCGCAUGGCGCGGCGGCCAAAGCCCCGGCGGUGCAAGAUGGGCCCGCGUCUGAUUAGGUAGUUGGCGGGGUAACGGCCCACCAAGCCGACGAUCAGUAGCCGACCUGAGAGGGUGACCGGCCACAUUGGGACUGAGACACGGCCCAGACUCCUACGGGAGGCAGCAGUGGGGAAUAUUGCACAAUGGGGGAAACCCUGAUGCAGCGACGCCGCGUGAAGGAUGAAGUAUUUCGGUAUGUAAACUUCUAUCAGCAGGGAAGAAGAUGACGGUACCUGACUAAGAAGCCCCGGCUAACUACGUGCCAGCAGCCGCGGUAAUACGUAGGGGGCAAGCGUUAUCCGGAUUUACUGGGUGUAAAGGGAGCGUAGACGGCAGUGCAAGUCUGAAGUGAAAGCCCGGGGCUCAACCCCGGGACUGCUUUGGAAACUGUGCAGCUAGAGUGUCGGAGAGGCAAGCGGAAUUCCUAGUGUAGCGGUGAAAUGCGUAGAUAUUAGGAGGAACACCAGUGGCGAAGGCGGCUUGCUGGACGAUGACUGACGUUGAGGCUCGAAAGCGUGGGGAGCAAACAGGAUUA